This 460-nucleotide ribosomal RNA is filed under the name uncultured bacterium. RNAcentral describes it as "partial 16S ribosomal RNA". It matches the Rfam family "Bacterial small subunit ribosomal RNA", at positions 338 to 795 of the family's 1533-position model. The record is from RNAcentral.
CCUACGGGAGGCAGCAGUGAGGAAUAUUGGUCACUGGGCGCGAGCCUGAACCAGCCAAGUCGCGUGAGGGAAGACGGCCCUACGGGUUGUAAACCUCUUUUGCCGGGGAGCAACGGGCGCCACGUGUGGCGCCACUGAGAGUACCCGGAGAAAAAGCCUCGGCUAACUCCGUGCCAGCAGCCGCGGUAAUACGGAGAAUGCGAGCGUUAUCCGGAUUUAUUGGGUUUAAAGGGUGCGUAGGCGGAGCGUUAAGUCCGUGGUCAACUGGAGGGGCUCAACCCCUUCCCGCCAUUGACAAUGGCGCUCUUGAGUGGAAGAGAAGUAUGCGGAAUGCGUGGUGUAGCGGUGAAAUGCAUAGAUAUCACGCAGAACCCCGAUUGCGAAGGCAGCAUGCCGGCUUCCUACUGACGCUGAAGCACGAAAGCGUGGGGAUCGAACAGGAUUAGAUACCCGUGUAGUC